GGGAGACUGAAGGGCGUGGAGGUGGAGUAUAUGAGCCAAACCCCCAGGCAGAGACAGCGGGGGAGACUGAAGGGCGUGGAGGUGGAGUAUAUGAGCCAAACCCCCAGGCAGAGACAGCGGGGGAGACUGAAGGGCGUGGAGGUGGAGUAUAUGAGCCAAACCCCCAGGCAGAGACAGCGGGGGAGACUGAAGGGCGUGGAGGUGGAGUAUAUGAGCCAAACCCCCAGGCAGAGACAGCGGGGGAGACUGAAGGGCGUGGAGGUGGAGUAUAUGAGCCAAACCCCCAGGCAGAGACAGCGGGGGAGACUGAAGGGCGUGGAGGUGGAGUAUAUGAGCCAAACCCCCAGGCAGAGACAGCGGGGGAGACUGAAGGGCGUGGAGGUGGAGUAUAUGAGCCAAACC
Oncorhynchus keta (chum salmon) is the source of this 402-nucleotide long non-coding RNA. RefSeq lists it as uncharacterized. The transcript is spliced from 3 exons. The record is from RefSeq and is a predicted model, not a curated record. Lineage: Eukaryota; Metazoa; Chordata; Actinopteri; Salmoniformes; Salmonidae.